Molecule: ribosomal RNA, 478 nt
Filed under: uncultured bacterium
Lineage: Bacteria
Description: partial 16S ribosomal RNA
Rfam family: Bacterial small subunit ribosomal RNA
Source: RNAcentral
GAUGAACGCUGGCGGCGUGCUUAACACAUGCAAGUCGAACGGGAAACCUUUUAAUGAAGCUUCGGCAGAUUUCGCUGGUUUCUAGUGGCGGCCGGGUGAGUAACGCGUGGGUAACCUGCCUUAUACAGGGGGAUAACAGUCAGAAAUGACUGCUAAUACCGCAUAAGCGCACAGGACCGCAUGGUCCGGUGUGAAAAACUCCGGUGGUAUAAGAUGGACCCGCGUUGGAUUAGCUUGUUGGUGGGGUAACGGCUCACCAAGGCGACGAUCCAUAGCCGGCCGGAGAGGGUGAACGGCCACAUUGGGACUGAGACACGGCCCAGACUCCUACGGGAGGCAGCAGUGGGGAAUAUUGCACAAUGGGGGAAAACCUGAUGCAGCGACGCCGCGUGAAGGAAGAAGUAUCUCGGUAUGUAAACUUCUAUCAGCAGGGAAGAUAGUGACGGUACCUGACUAAGAAGCCCCGGCUAACUACGUG